RNAcentral lists this unclassified non-coding RNA (345 nucleotides) under soil metagenome. Its description in RNAcentral is "partial contains 5.8S ribosomal RNA, internal transcribed spacer 2, and large subunit ribosomal RNA". The stretch from base 1 to 120 matches the Rfam family "5.8S ribosomal RNA", at positions 35 to 154 of the family's 154-position model. The record is from RNAcentral.
GAUGAAGAACGCAGCGAAAUGCGAUAAGUAAUGUGAAUUGCAGAAUUCAGUGAAUCAUCGAAUCUUUGAACGCACAUUGCGCCCGCCAGCAUUCUGGCGGGCAUGCCUGUUCGAGCGUCAUUUCAACCCUCGACCUCCCCUUGGGGAAGUCGGCGUUGGGGACCGGCAGCAUACCGCCGGCCCCGAAAUGGAGUGGCGGCCCGUCCGCGGCGACCUCUGCGUAGUAAUCCAACCUCGCACCGGAACCCCGACGUGGCCACGCCGUAAAACCCCCAACUUUCUGAACGUUGACCUCGGAUCAGGUAGGAAUACCCGCUGAACUUAAGCAUAUCAAUAAGCGGAGGA